AUUGAACGCUGGCGGCAGGCCUAACACAUGCAAGUCGGGCGGUAGAGAGAAGCUUGCUUCCCUUGAGAGCGGCGGACGGGUGAGUAAUGCCUAGGAAUCUGCCUGGUAGUGGGGGAUAACGUUCGGAAACGGACGCUAAUACCGCAUACGUCCUACGGGAGAAAGCAGGGGACCUUCGGGCCUUGCGCUAUCAGAUGAGCCUAGGUCGGAUUAGCUAGUUGGUGAGGUAAUGGCUCACCAAGGCGACGAUCCGUAACUGGUCUGAGAGGAUGAUCAGUCACACUGGAACUGAGACACGGUCCAGACUCCUACGGGAGGCAGCAGUGGGGAAUAUUGGACAAUGGGCGAAAGCCUGAUCCAGCCAUGCCGCGUGUGUGAAGAAGGCCUUCGGGUUGUAAAGCACUUUUAUCAGGAGCGAAAUCUGCAGGGCUAAUACCCAUGCAGUCUGACGGUACCUGAGGAAUAAGCACCGGCUAACUCCGUGCCAGCAGCCGCGGUAAUACGGAGGGUGCAAGCGUUAAUCGGAAUUACUGGGCGUAAAGCGUGCGUAGGCGGUUCGUUAAGUCUGUUGUGAAAGCCCCGGGCUCAACCUGGGAAUGGCAAUGGAUACUGGCGAGCUAGAGUGUGUCAGAGGAUGGUGGAAUUCCCGGUGUAGCGGUGAAAUGCGUAGAGAUCGGGAGGAACAUCAGUGGCGAAGGCGGCCAUCUGGGACAACACUGACGCUGAGGCACGAAAGCGUGGGGAGCAAACAGG
Molecule: ribosomal RNA, 753 nt
Filed under: uncultured Pseudomonadaceae bacterium
Lineage: Bacteria; Pseudomonadati; Pseudomonadota; Gammaproteobacteria; Pseudomonadales; Pseudomonadaceae
Description: bacterial SSU rRNA
Rfam family: Bacterial small subunit ribosomal RNA
Source: RNAcentral